AUUGAACGCUGGCGGCAGGCCUAACACAUGCAAGUCGAGCGAGCGGCGGACGGGUGAGUAAUGUCUGGGAAACUGCUUGAUGGAGGGGGAUAACUACUGGAAACGGUAGCUAAUACCGCAUACCAUCAGAUGUGCCCAGAUGGGAUUAGCUAGUCGGUGGGGUAACGGCUCACCUAGGCUCCGAUCCCUAGCUGGUCUGAGAGGAUGACCAGCCACACUUCAACUGAGACACGGCCCAGGAUCCUAGGGGAGGCAGCAGUGGGGAAUAUUGCGCAAUGGGCGCAAGCCUGAUGCAGCCAUGCCGCGUGUGUGAAGAAGGCCUUCGGGUUGUAAAGCACUUUCAGCGGGGAGGCGGUACCCGCAGAAGAAGCACCGGGUAAAGAAGUGCCAGCAGCCGCGGUAAUAC
This 406-nucleotide ribosomal RNA is filed under the name uncultured bacterium. RNAcentral's name for it is "partial 16S ribosomal RNA". It matches the Rfam family "Bacterial small subunit ribosomal RNA", at positions 30 to 526 of the family's 1533-position model. The record is from RNAcentral.